UAGAAUAGUUUCCAUUUUCAAGUAGUUUCUAUUAAUUGUUUGAUUUUUCCUUUAUAUUAGUCAUGUAAUAGAGAAGAACUCAGUUUUAGAUUUGAAAUUUUGAUUUGAAAUUGGAUGUUUACUUGGCUGAAGCUUUGGUUGCCGUGACUCUCUCUUUUCUUAUGUUUUUUUCUUCUUCUUCUCCUCUUCCUUGCGAUCUCCUUUUCUCCUUUCUUCUCUUUCUAUUUUCUUCUUCUACUUUUCUCUUCCUUUUCUGGUUUGUAUUCUUUUCUCUGUUUCUGGGCGGUAGUUGCAGUCCCAAAUAAAGGGAUCGAUCUCCCUCAUUCUUGAUCUGCUUGGACUGAGAUUUUGGUGGAGGGUUCUCCUUCCCUAGGCAACCCUAGCCGUAGAAUCUCGUCUCCAGAAGGUCGUUCUAUCAAGAGGUUCAAGACCAAGUUCAGAUCUGGUUCCCUAUUACCGCCAGAUCUGAGUUGCAGGGACAAUACAACUCCUCUUACUUCUUGUUUGAAGUGUUUAUUUGUCGGAGUCAAGAGACCCUAAGGCUGGCAGCCUUCGUUUCGUAGUUCAGGUCAAACCAAGCUCUAUCGAAGGAGUCCGAUCGAUCGGAGUUUUUUUUUUCUGUUCCGCUGGUUUCUGGUUCUCACGAUAAGAAGAAGAAGAAACAAGUUUUUUUUUCUUUUGUUUUAAAAGAGUUUAUUCCCUGUUAUUACAUGAAAGCCCCUGUCCUGAAAUUGUGUUCUAUUGUUCCUCCCCCUCACUUUAACAAUUACACAUUACCCCUUCUCUUCUACUUUUAUAUUUCAGUUUGACCCUACUCUUUAUUUUCCUCUCUCUUAAGCUCUUAAAAUUGUUUCUGAAAUUACAAGAAUACCCCUCAACCAUUACAUUGAGCUUCUUAGUCAUUCUGGUGGGCCCUAAGUGAUCCAAUUCCUGAUUUUGGGAACCCAGAUCCGCAUCACCACUAGUGGGCCUUAUUGAAUUAUAAAUCGAUGGGCCCAAUGGGCCUUUAUUAACUAAUGACUAAAUUAAAUUAACACUUAAGUGGCUGACUUAAGUGGAUCAAUGGGCCCAACUUGUUGGCCGAUGGGCCAUUAAUAGAUGGAGAUCGAAUCAGCCGUAAGGCUGGGUCGAUGGCUGCUUGCCUGCUUGGCUGGAUCUCCCUCCUGCAAUAGUGUAGCCUAUGAUGGGGAUCUACAUCAGCCAUAUUCUUUGGGGAUCCAAAGGGGAGGGUCGGGAACCUUGUUGAGAAAAAUUGGAGAGAUUUUUCAAAGACCUUGAUUCACCCCCUCUCAGUGUCAACUUGGGAGUAUCACUUUUCAAUGAGAGAAAGUAGUGCUACCUCUACAAGGGGAGUUGAGGGUGGUGUGGUGGGUCGUAUUGGAAACCAUGGCCAUAACCCUGCCCUUCACAGCUAGGAGCUGCAAAGAAAUGGGACCAAUUAUCUCACUUGGUCUUAACUCACUAACCGAGAUAAUAAUCUUUUGGGGUAUUUUACUGGUGACACCCCCAAACCAACCGAUACUGCAACUUCUAAUAUUCUAUUGGCCAAUGAUGCUCUCAUCUUGUCUUAUUUAUUGGAACUCUAUGGACUCCACUAUCAGCCUAAGCUUUGUCUUGUUAACACUGCAAAGGAAUUAUAGGAUGCGGUCAAACAUAUUUAUAUAUGGUCAAAUAAUUAUGCUCAGAUCUAUGAACUUCCUUGGAAAGUUCAUGAGACUAUUCAGAAAGAGUUAUCACUCCUUGCUUACUACUCAACUCUUAAUACACUAUGGCAACAAUUGGACUUCUAUCAUUCGAUUUCCAUUAUUUGUACAACUGAUGCUAGUAUGUUUCAGGAGGAGUGUGAAAUGGAAAGGGUGUAUGAUUUUCUUAUUGGACUGAUCCAGGAGUAUGAUCAAAUUUGCAUUCAGGUUGUUUGCCGUGAUAAAUUCCCUACUUCUCUUGAAGCUUACAAUUUGGUCCAACAUGAGGAACGUUGUCACUUGGUUAUGAUGCUUAUUGUUGCAGCUACUCGUUUAAGAUUGGUUAAUACUCAAGUGGAUCUUAGAAUCACCGAUAAACGGGCUGCUUCUGCCAAAGAGCCGGUUAAGUGUGCUUAUGUGGGUGUCCCUAUCACACCAGAGAAACUUGUUGGAAGCUUCAUGGUCACCCUAAGGGGAGACACGGUAGGAAACAUGAAUAUUCUCACCCUCAGAAUCAUAUGUCCGAGUCUAUUAAUGGUUCUUCCCCUGCUACCGUCUCUCGUUUUUCUUCAGAAUAGAUGGUGGCUCUAGUGUAUAAUGACUCAGCUUGGUUCAGCACCUCCCACAAUGGCAUCUUCCACUACACUUGCUUCUCACCUCUCCCAAUCAGGUAUCUUUCAUGUUUCUUCACCUCCUAGUCCAUCAUGGGUGCUUGAUUCAUGGUGCCUCUGAUCAUAUAGUUAGCUCCUCGGACAUGUUCCGUACCUAUCUCCCUUGCUCAGGUAAGGUUAAGGUCUGAGUUGCUGAUGUAUACUAUGAUUAGGACCCAGUUCUAUGCCCACGCUCAGAUUUUGAGGAGUGAUAAUGGGACUGAAUAUAUAGUUGGUUCAUUCCGUUAGUAUCUUGACGAACACACUAUUUUGUCCCAAACCUCCUGUGUUCAUACUCUUGAACAGAAUGGUAUCCUAGAAAGGAAGAAUCAACAUCUUCUCUAAGUCACUCGUUCCUUAAUGUUUAGUGUUUACCACCCAAGUUGCCAAAUUCUAUUAGGGUGAUUUAGUCUUUUCUUUUGACUGUCCUGGACCAAAACAUUGGUUAUUCUUCUUUCGGAUCCCACUCUUGCUUCUCAUCUUCCUCUCAGGGUAUUUGGCUGUGUUUUUUGCUCACAAUUCCUCUCCUUCUCGAUCCAAACUUGAUCCCUGGGCUCCUCGUUGUAUCUUUUUUGGGUAUUCAGCCUCUCAAAAGGGAUACAAAUGUUAUAAUCCUUCUUUAUGUCACUUAUUAGUCAUAAUGGAUGUUACAUUUCAGGAAAAUGAGUCCCAUUACCAGUCUUCUCUUCGGGUGUAGAGUGUUGAGGAAGAGGUGAAGCACUUUCUUCUCCUUUGGUUAUUGAUACUAUUCGACUUCAGGGGGAGAAGGUAGCCAAUGAUACAAGGGAAGGAUUUGGCAUUCCACCAGAACCAAAAAAGGGAUCUACUCACUUACUCCCUAUGGAAUGAAAAGCUUGUCUCAAAUACAGCAUAUCCAUCUUUGCUUCCAGAUCCAUCUCUGUCGUCAUUAGGGCUGGAAAGAAGCUGUUAUAGAUCCUAAGUGGAGAAAUGCUAUGGUGGAGGAGAUGUAGGCCUUGAAGAAAAAAUGAAACCUGGGAGCUUGUCCCUCAUCUUGAAGAGAAGAUGGUAGGCUGUAACGAGUAUUCACUAUAAAAUAGAAGUCAGAUGGAACAAUUGAGAGAUAUAAAGCAAAAAUGGUUGCUAAGGCCUUCACCCAAACCUAUGGGAUUGACUAUCAAGACACAUUUGUCCGCAUUAUUAUCUUAUGAUGUAAAUCUUGGAUGGAAUCUCCAACAAUUUGAUGUGAAGAAUGCUUUCCUUAAUAGUGAUAUCGAGGAAGAGGUGUAUAUGGAUAUACCCCCAGGCUUUGCAUCAUCAGCUACAAAUGGCAAUGUGUGUAGAUUACAAAAGUCUCCUACGGUCUCCAACAAGCACCACGAGCUUGGUUUGGCCGGUUCCAGAAGGAUAUGCAACACUUUGGGUUUAAACAAAGCCAUACUAACAAUACCUUAUCUGUCAAACAAAAGGAUGGGAAGGUUGCUGUCCUUAUCAUCUAUAUUGAUGAAAUGGUGAUAACUGAUCACAAGGAGUGAUGAUGUAUGAAUCUCGUAGUUGAAGUCUGAAUUGUCCAUAGAAUUUAAGACCAAGGAUUUAGGACCUGUCAAAUAUUUUCUAGGGAUUGAAGUAGCCUAUUCAAACAAGGGUAUUUUCAUUUCCCAAAGAAAGUAUGUUCUAGAUCUUCUCAGUGAGACAUGGAUGCUCGGUUGUAAACAUGCAUAGUCUCCUAUUGACGUUAAUCACCAACUCAGCUGUAAAGGUGGUGAGUCAGUAGACAAGGAGAGAUAUCAGCGAUUUGUAUGCAGACUAAUAUACCUCUCCCCUUCUCGACCAGAUAUUACUUAUGCUGUUGGUGUCGUGUGUCGUUUCUUACAUGAUUAUUGGACUAAUCACAUUGAAGUUGUAUACGAAUAUUGACGUACUUAGAGUGUAUACCCAGGAAAGGGUAUUUUAUUCUCCAACAUUACCAAUCUGAAGUUGGAAUGAUUUACCAACAUUGACUGGGCUGGUUCCAUUAAUGAUCGGCACUCUAAGUUAGCAUAUUGUACAUUCCUCGGAGGCAAUCUGGUUACUUGGCGAAGCAAAAAUGCAAUUAGUGGUAUCUAGAUCCAAUACAGAAGCGGAGUACUGAGCAAUGACAUAAGGUGUAUGUGAACUUAUUUGGCUAAAGGUGUUACUUAGAUUUGGGGGUCACAUCUGGGAUACCUACAAGACUAUACUCAUAAUAAUAAGGCAACAAUCAGUACAGCCCAUAACCCAGUCCAGCAUGACGGGACCAAGCAUAUUGAGAUUGAUAGACACUUCAUCAAGGAGAAACUUAAACAAGGCUUAAUCUGCAUGCCAUUCGUUACCUCAGAGAACCAGUUAGUUGAUGAAUUCACUAGGGGGCUGACUUUUACGUCAUUUCAUCCUAUUGUAUUCAAGUUGGGCAUGAGGGAUAUUUAUUCACCAAUUUGAGGGAGAGUAUUAAAAAUAGGUGUUGACGAGAUGACUAGAUUAUCUAGGUUCAUUAUAUGUUGGGAUAAGACUUGUGACUCAGUCUUACCUAAUAUACCAUAUUUGUAUUUGCUAUCCUCUUUAUAAAUAAAGAACGACCUCUGUCAUUCAAGAGAAGCC
This is a long non-coding RNA of Macadamia integrifolia, 4906 nucleotides long. RefSeq lists it as uncharacterized. Lineage: Eukaryota; Viridiplantae; Streptophyta; Magnoliopsida; Proteales; Proteaceae. The transcript has 2 exons. The record is from RefSeq and is a predicted model, not a curated record.